RNAcentral lists this transfer RNA (74 nucleotides) under Providencia rustigianii. RNAcentral describes it as "tRNA-Met". It matches the Rfam family "tRNA". From Rfam's summary of the family: Transfer RNA (tRNA) molecules are approximately 80 nucleotides in length. Lineage: Bacteria; Pseudomonadati; Pseudomonadota; Gammaproteobacteria; Enterobacterales; Morganellaceae. The record is from RNAcentral. RNAcentral also lists the same sequence under 5 other names.
GGCCCCUUAGCUCAGUUGGUUAGAGCAGGCGACUCAUAAUCGCUUGGUCGCUGGUUCAAGUCCAGCAGGGGCCA